Molecule: ribosomal RNA, 500 nt
Filed under: uncultured bacterium
Lineage: Bacteria
Description: partial 16S ribosomal RNA
Rfam family: Bacterial small subunit ribosomal RNA
Source: RNAcentral
AUUGAACGCUGGCGGAAUGCUUUACACAUGCAAGUCGAACGGCAGCACGGACUUCGGUCUGGUGGCGAGUGGCGAACGGGUGAGUAACAUAUCGGAACGUAUCCAAUAAUGGGGGAUAACGAGUCGAAAGAUUCGCUAAUACCGCAUACGCCCUACGGGGGAAAGCUGGGGACCUUCGGGCCUGGCGUUAAUGGAGCGGCCGAUAUCUGAUUAGCUAGUUGGUGAGGUAAAGGCUCACCAAGGCGACGAUCAGUAGCUGGUCUGAGAGGACGACCAGCCACACUGGAACUGAGACACGGUCCAGACUCCUACGGGAGGCAGCAGUGGGGAAUUUUGGACAAUGGGCGCAAGCCUGAUCCAGCCAUUCCGCGUGAGUGAAGAAGGCCUUCGGGUUGUAAAGCUCUUUCGCAAGGGAAGAAAACUUAGCCACUAACAUUGGUUGAGGUUGACGGUACCUUGAUAAGAAGCACCGGCUAACCACGUGCCAGCAGCCGCAGUAA